Molecule: ribosomal RNA, 433 nt
Filed under: uncultured bacterium
Lineage: Bacteria
Description: partial 16S ribosomal RNA
Rfam family: Bacterial small subunit ribosomal RNA
Source: RNAcentral
AACGAACGCUGGCGGCAUGCCUAACACAUGCAAGUCGAACGAGACCUUCGGGUCUAGUGGCGCACGGGUGCGUAACGCGUGGGAACCUGCCUUUAGGUCCGGAAUAACUCAGAGUAAUUUGAGCUAAUACCGGAUGAUGUCUUCGGACCAAAGAUUUAUCGCCUUUAGAUGGGCCCGCGUUGGAUUAGCUAGUUGGUGGGGUAAAGGCCUACCAAGGCGACGAUCCAUAGCUGGUCUGAGAGGAUGAUCAGCCACACUGGGACUGAGACACGGCCCAGACUCCUACGGGAGGCAGCAGUGGGGAAUAUUGGACAAUGGGCGAAAGUCUGAUCCAGCAAUGCCGCGUAAGUGAUGAAGGGCUUAGGGUUGUAAAGCUCUUUUACCCGAGAUGAUAAUGACAGUAUCGGGAGAAUAAGCUCCGGCUAACUCCGUG